This 45-nucleotide non-coding RNA is filed under the name Schistosoma curassoni. Lineage: Eukaryota; Metazoa; Platyhelminthes; Trematoda; Strigeidida; Schistosomatidae. The record is from RNAcentral.
AUCCAGCUGACGAGUACCAAAUAGGACGAAACGCGCGUUCUGGAU